GACGUAGGGCGCGAGCGUUGUCCGGAUUUAUUGGGCGUAAAGAGCUCGUAGGCGGCUUGUCGCGUCGUCCGUGAAAACCUGGGGCUCAACCCCAGGCUUGCGGUCGAUACGGGCAGGCUCGAGUUCGGUAGGGGAGACUGGAAUUCCUGGUGUAGCGGUGAAAUGCGCAGAUAUCAGGAGGAACACCGGUGGCGAAGGCAGGUCUCUGGGCCACUACUGACGCUGAGACGCGAAAGCGUGGGGAGCGAACAGG
RNAcentral lists this ribosomal RNA (253 nucleotides) under uncultured bacterium. RNAcentral's name for it is "partial 16S ribosomal RNA". It matches the Rfam family "Bacterial small subunit ribosomal RNA", at positions 524 to 776 of the family's 1533-position model. The record is from RNAcentral.